Molecule: ribosomal RNA, 1398 nt
Filed under: Acinetobacter baumannii
Lineage: Bacteria; Pseudomonadati; Pseudomonadota; Gammaproteobacteria; Moraxellales; Moraxellaceae
Description: bacterial SSU rRNA
Rfam family: Bacterial small subunit ribosomal RNA
Source: RNAcentral
CAUGCAGUCGAGCGGGGAAGGUAGCUUGCUACCGGACCUACGGCGGACGGGUGAGUAAUGCUUAGGAAUCUGCCUAUUAGUGGGGGACAACAUCUCGAAAGGGAUGCUAAUACCGCAUACGUCCUACGGGAGAAAGCAGGGGAUCUUCGGACCUUGCGCUAAUAGAUGAGCCUAAGUCGGAUUAACUAGUUGGUGGGGUAAAGGCCUACCAAGGCGACGAUCUGUAGCGGGUCUGACAGGAUGAUCCGCCACACUGGGACUGAGACACGGCCCAUACUCCUACGGGAGGCAGCAGUGGGGAAUAUUGGACAAUGGGGGGAACCCUGAUCCAGCCAUGCCGCGUGUGUGAAGAAGGCCUUAUGGUUGUAAAGCACUUUAAGCGAGGAGGAGGCUACUUUAGUUAAUACCUAGAGAUAGUGGACGUUACUCGCAGAAUAAGCACCGGCUAACUCUGUGCCAGCAGCCGCGGUAAUACAGAGGGUGCGAGCGUUAAUCGGAUUUACUGGGCGUAAAGCGUGCGUAGGCGGCUUAUUAAGUCGGAUGUGAAAUCCCCGAGCUUAACUUGGGAAUUGCAUUCGAUACUGGUGAGCUAGAGUAUGGGAGAGGAUGGUAGAAUUCCAGGUGUAGCGGUGAAAUGCGUAGAGAUCUGGAGGAAUACCGAUGGCGAAGGCAGCCAUCUGGCCUAAUACUGACGCUGAGGUACGAAAGCAUGGGGAGCAACCAGGAUUAGAUACCCUGGUAGUCCAUGCCGUAAACGAUGUCUACUAGCCGUUGGGGCCUUUGAGGCUUUAGUGGCGCAGCUAACGCGAUAAGUAGUCCGCCUGGGGAGUACGGUCGCAAGACUAAAACUCAAAUGAAUUGACGGGGGCCCGCACAAGCGGUGGAGCAUGUGGUUUAAUUCGAUGCAACGCGAAGAACCUUACCUGGCCUUGACAUACUAGAAACUUUCCAGAGAUGGAUUGGUGCCUUCGGGAAUCUAGAUACAGGUGCUGCAUGGCUGUCGUCAGCUCGUGUCGUGAGAUGUUGGGUUAAGUCCCGCAACGAGCGCAACCCUUUUCCUUACUUGCCAGCAUUUCGGAUGGGAACUUUAAGGAUACUGCCAGUGACAAACUGGAGGAAGGCGGGGACGACGUCAAGUCAUCAUGGCCCUUACGGCCAGGGCUACACACGUGCUACAAUGGUCGGUACAAAGGGUUGCUACACAGCGAUGUGAUGCUAAUCUCAAAAACCCGAUCGUAGUCCGGAUUGGAGUCUGCAACUCGACUCCAUGAAGUCGGAAUCGUUAGUAAUCGCGGAUCAGAAUGCCGCGGUGAAUACGUUCCCGGCCCUUGUACACACCGCCCGUCACACCAUGGGAGUUGUUGCACCAGAAGUAGCUAGCCUACCUCAAAGAGGCAC